UACGAAGGGGGCUAGCGUUGCUCGGAAUUACUGGGCGUAAAGAGCGCGCAGGCGGUCGUUCAAGUCGAGUGUGAAAGCCCCCGGCUCAACUGGGGAGGGUCAUUCGAUACUGAUCGACUGGAAGGCAGGAGAGGGAAGCGGAAUUCCCGGUGUAGUGGUGAAAUGCGUAGAUAUCGGGAGGAACACCAGUGGCGAAGGCGGCUUCCUGGCCUGUUCUUGACGCUGAGGCGCGAAAGCUAGGGGAGCAAACAGG
This 253-nucleotide ribosomal RNA is filed under the name uncultured bacterium. RNAcentral describes it as "partial 16S ribosomal RNA". It matches the Rfam family "Bacterial small subunit ribosomal RNA", at positions 524 to 776 of the family's 1533-position model. The record is from RNAcentral.